GUGGAUGAUGUGGUUUAAUUCGAUGCAACGCGAAAAACCUUACCCACCUUUGACAUUACGGAAGUUACCAGAGAUGGUUUCGUGCUCGAAAGAGAACCGUAACACAGGUGCUGCAUGGCUGUCGUCAGCUCGUGUCGUGAGAUGUUGGGUUAAGUCCCGCAACGAGCGCAACCCUUGUCAUUAGUUGCUACGAAAGGGCACUCUAAUGAGACUGCCGGUGACAAACCGGAGGAAGGUGGGGAUGACGUCAAGUCCUCAUGGCCCUUAUAGGUGGGGCUACACACGUCAUACAAUGGCUGGUACAGAGGGUUGCCAACCCGCGAGGGGGAGCUAAUCCCAUAAAACCAGUCGUAGUCCGGAUCGCAGUCUGCAACUCGACUGCGUGAAGUCGGAAUCGCUAGUAAUCGCGGAUCAGAAUGUCGCGGUGAAUACGUUCCCGGGUCUUGUACACACCGCCCGUCACA
Molecule: ribosomal RNA, 464 nt
Filed under: uncultured Burkholderiales bacterium
Lineage: Bacteria; Pseudomonadati; Pseudomonadota; Betaproteobacteria; Burkholderiales
Description: bacterial SSU rRNA
Rfam family: Bacterial small subunit ribosomal RNA
Source: RNAcentral